Non-coding RNA from Apiosordaria backusii, 118 nucleotides. NCBI's taxonomy places the organism in Eukaryota, Fungi, Ascomycota, Sordariomycetes, Sordariales, Lasiosphaeriaceae. The record is from the annotation of a GenBank genome assembly.
GGGCGUGUGGCUCAGUUGGUAGAGCGUUCGCUUAGCAUACUCGACAUCCUUGUAUCUCACGAUAUCAGGGAUCCCCAUUGUAUGCGAAAGGUCCUGGGUUCGAUUCCCAGCUCGUCCA